AUUGAACGCUGGCGGCAGGCCUAACACAUGCCCGUUGCGCGGAUGACGGGAGGUUGUUCUUGGAUUCAGCGGCGGACGGGUGUUUAAUGACUAGUAAUCUGCCUGGCAGUGGGGGUUAACGUCAGGAAAAGGGCCCUAAUACAGCACACGUCCUGUGGGCGAAAGCUGGGGACCUUCGGCCCUGACGCUGUCGGGUGAGCCUAGGUCGGAUUCCCUAGUUGGUGGGGUAAAGGCCUACCCAGGCGACGGUCCGUAACUGGUCUGUUAGGAUGAUCAGUCACACUGGAACUGAGACACGGUCCACACUCCUACGGGAGGCAGCAGUGGGGAAUAUUGGACAAUGGGCGAAAGCCGGAUCCAGCCAUGCCGCGCGUGUGAAGAAGGUCUUCGGAUUGUAAUGCUCGGUAAGUUGGGAGUAAGGGCAGUAAAUUAAGACCUUGCUGGUUGGACGGUACCAACAGAAUAUGCGCCGGCUAACUUCGUG
This 484-nucleotide ribosomal RNA is filed under the name uncultured bacterium. Its description in RNAcentral is "partial 16S ribosomal RNA". It matches the Rfam family "Bacterial small subunit ribosomal RNA", at positions 30 to 507 of the family's 1533-position model. The record is from RNAcentral.